CAAACGUCACAGUGGGUCCGGUCUCACGUGGCUCUUGCAGUUACAGAUACACAGGCAAGUCUCAAUAAAGGAUAAAAUUCCUCAACAAGGAACACUCGUGGUCCUCUCUGGAGUCACACCAGCUGUCCUACAUCUUCCCCGAAGUGCAGCUCUCUCAGUGGAUGCAAAGGGAUAAGAUGCAGGAAGGAGCACUGGACAGCAGGAACCACGGUCGUGGAUGAGGGGUUGUGGACAGAUCAGCAGGAAGACUUGGAUGAGAAAACUCCUGCACCGGCCAGGGGAGCAGAAAGCAAAACGAAAUCCCAUGUCUGGCAACUGCAAAUUGGUGGGACUACCUAAAUUAAAUGGUGUUGACAACACCACAAUUUUGUUGUUGCUCUCUGUCUUUGGGAAAAUGAAAUUUUUAACUCCACCGUGGAUUUUUGCAUUAUUUCACAUCAAGAUCUUGCAAAACACGUGCUCUUAAGGGAUUUAAGGUCUGCUAUUCAGCAGACCUUUUCCAGAAGCAUCCUGGCACCUGCUGGAAGGAAAAGAAAGGAACAGAAAGCUUUUUGCAGUUUGUAGUCACUUUGCAUCAAGGAAGGGGACAUAAGGAAAACAUUUCCAAGCCUGUCCUGCAAGAGCAGUGAAAAAAUGACCCAUCAAACUCAAAAAGCACCUGAGUCUUCCCAUGAUCUGGAUUAUGGGAUAGAUUUUCCUCAUGGAUCCCACUCAUCUUCUUCAGCAGUCAUGUGCUGUC
Lepidothrix coronata (blue-crowned manakin) is the source of this 739-nucleotide long non-coding RNA. RefSeq lists it as uncharacterized. The record is from RefSeq and is a predicted model, not a curated record. NCBI's taxonomy places the organism in Eukaryota, Metazoa, Chordata, Aves, Passeriformes, Pipridae. The transcript is spliced from 4 exons.